UUGGUGAUCUGGGGGCAGAGGGGGCUCGGCUGGCGGAUUGGAUGGAAUCGAGCUGUAUCCAGUCUGCCAUGGCUCUCGGGCUCUCCUCCAAGAAAGCCUCUUCCAGGAACAUCGCCGUGGAGAGGAAGAAUCUCAUCACGGUCUGCAGAUUUUCCGUGAAGACCCUGCUGGAGAAAUACACCACGGAGCCCAUUGAUGAUUCAUCGGAGGAGUUCAUCAACUUUGCUGCCAUUCUAGAGCAGAUCCUGAGUCACCGUUUCAAAGGUCCCGUCAGUUGGUUCAGCUCUGAUGGGCAGCGCGGCUUCUGGGAUUACAUCCGCCUGGCCUGCAGCAAGGUCCCCAACAACUGCGUCAGCAGCAUCGAGAACAUGGAGAACAUCAGCACUUCUAGGGCCAAGGGCCGGGCCUGGAUCCGCGUGGCGCUGAUGGAGAAACGUAUGUCGGAAUACAUCACCACAGCCCUGAGGGACACCAGAACCACCAGAAGGUUUUACGACGACGGGGCUAUCAUGCUGCGAGAGGAGUCCACUGUGCUCACUGGGAUGCUGAUCGGCCUCAGCGCCAUUGACUUCAGUUUCUGCUUGAAAGGGGAAGUAAUGGACGGGAAAACCCCUGUGGUCAUUGACUACACCCCAUAUCUGAAGUUUACACAAAGCUAUGAUUACCUGAGUGACGAGGAGGACCGGAGGAGCAUGGAGAGCAGCACGAGCGAGGAGAGCUCCCCCGAGCACCCCUACCAGCUGCUGGUCACCGACGAGGACAGCUGGUACAACAAGUGGCGUAAGAUGGAGCAGAAGUUCCGCAUCGUGUAUGCGCAGAAGGGAUACCUGGAGGAGCUGGUGCGGCUCCGGGAAUCCCAGCUGAAGGACCUGGAGGCGGAGAACAAGCGUCUGCAGAUGAGGCUGGAGGAGGUGAAGGUGCAGAACCAGCUGGAGAAGAGGGAGCUGGAGGGCGUCAUCCUGGAACUGCAGGAGCAACUGACGGGCCUGAUCCCCUGUGAGAACACCCAGCUCUCCAAGGAGAUGGCCACGCCGCUGGCGAACCAGUGGCCGUCGCUGGGGACCCUCAGUGGGAAUGAGAGCAGGUCAGACGCCAAGCUGUACAGGAGGCACAGCUUCAUGAGCACGGAUCAGCUGUCGGCGGAGAUCAGCCUGAGCUCGGAUUCCCAGAGGCUAGGGGAGGGGAAGCAAGAAGGAGAGCCCUGGGGGCCAUUGGGGAAGGACCCCACCCCAUCCAUGCUGGGGCUCUGCGGCUCCCUGGCCUCCCUCCCAAGCUGCAGGUCCCUGGCCAGCCUGAAAUCUAACGAAUGCCUGGUGAGUGACAGUAACGAAGCCAGCCCCACCCACAGCCCCAGUUGAGACGCUGGGCGGCGCCACUUGUCCUGGGAUUGGCAGGUCCCACCGGGGAGCCAGGAGGCGAACCAAGGAGCCGCCACCAUCUCAAACCAAUGGGACCAAAGCGACAGGCAAAUGGACCUUACUGAACUUCUUGAGGGGCUGGGGCAGCCAGCCCCACCCUGGCUUAUUCGCUGCAUCCUUACAGAUGUGGGCCCCAUUCCUACCAAGGGACGUUUAACUGAGUGCUUAAUAUUCUAAGCUCGUACGGAGCUGGAAGGAUCCCAACGUGCUUUGUGAAAUGUGCUGCAGAAAAGCAGCCACCUCUGGGGUGGACCAAGGCAGCCGUUUAACCACUGUGCUGCACAGCAGCUGAAGGACAGGGCGUGAAGAAGGAUCCUGCACCUGACUGAAAUUGCAAAAGUGGGAGGAGUUGGGGGGGGAGGACAUAAAUCCUGCAUCUGGAGUUUUCGCUUGGCCAGAAAGGGUGAAGAGUGGAGGCGGGGUGGGGCACUGUCACAUGGCCAUGGCCUCCCCUUGGGGCACGCCCUUGCCAGUGUCCCACCCUGGGGACUUUAUCAUUGCUCUGGAACCAGCUGAUUGGGGCCGAGAUGCCUCCUCCCAUCAGGACACUGUGUGGCCCCCUAGGCAGUGAGAAGCCCAGAGCAGGGAGUUUGGGGGCUGGGAAGGGGAAGAGCUGUCAGCUCAUACCUGCUUCCCUCUGCCCUGCACCACAGCCAUGGACUCUUGUGCCCUUCUGCCACGGGCCGGAUGCUUUGACAUAGUUGCUUUGCAGCCCAAGGGGCUGUCUGCCCCAUGGAGGGCUCAAGCACCUGAUGAGAGAAUUCCACAGAGGCGCCCUCGAUCCCUAAGCAAGGUCCUAGCAUCUUCCGUCCUAUUACAGAGCAGGGUGCAGCAUUCGUUUGUUUGAAGGAUACUUGAAAACAACACAUGGAGGAGAUUGCCUGUGUGUCCAGAGAGGGGAGGACCCUGCUGAUGUGCACUCUCAAGUGCUCAGAACUUGAUUGAAUAAAUUGAACAUUGAGAAGUUUCCACUGCAAGCAGAAAACCGACCUCCAAGACACCACAAAUCUGCUACCACUUGGCCAAGAGGCAACAGCAGGAAGCCAGAG
Molecule: non-coding RNA, 2467 nt
Organism: Chelonoidis abingdonii (Abingdon island giant tortoise)
Lineage: Eukaryota; Metazoa; Chordata; Testudines; Testudinidae
Source: RefSeq, a predicted model, not a curated record